AAGUCGAACGAUGAAGCCCAGCUUGCUGGGUGGAUUAGUGGCGAACGGGUGAGUAACACGUGAGCAACCUGCCCCUGACUCUGGGAUAAGCGCUGGAAACGGCGUCUAAUACUGGAUAUGUCCCGUCACCGCAUGGUGUGCGGGUGGAAAGAUUUUUCGGUUGGGGAUGGGCUCGCGGCCUAUCAGCUUGUUGGUGAGGUAAUGGCUCACCAAGGCGUCGACGGGUAGCCGGCCUGAGAGGGUGACCGGCCACACUGGGACUGAGACACGGCCCAGACUCCUACGGGAGGCAGCAGUGGGGAAUAUUGCACAAUGGGCGCAAGCCUGAUGCAGCAACGCCGCGUGAGGGAUGACGGCCUUCGGGUUGUAAACCUCUUUUAGCAGGGAAGAAGCGAGAGUGACGGUACCUGCAGAAAAAGCACCGGCUAACUACGUGCCAGCAGCCGCGGUAAUACGUAGGGUGCAAGCGUUAUCCGGAAUUAUUGGGCGUAAAGAGCUCGUAGGCGGUCUGUCGCGUCUGCUGUGAAAUCCCGAGGCUCAACCUCGGGCUUGCAGUGGGUACGGGCAGACUAGAGUGCGGUAGGGGAGAUUGGAAUUCCUGGUGUAGCGGUGGAAUGCGCAGAUAUCAGGAGGAACACCGAUGGCGAAGGCAGAUCUCUGGGCCGUAACUGACGCUGAGGAGCGAAAGGGUGGGGAGCAAACAGGCUUAGAUACCCUGGUAGUCCACCCCGUAAACGUUGGGAACUAGUUGUGGGGUCCUUUCCACGGAUUCCGUGACGCAGCUAACGCAUUAAGUUCCCCGCCUGGGGAGUACGGCCGCAAGGCUAAAACUCAAAGGAAUUGACGGGGACCCGCACAAGCGGCGGAGCAUGCGGAUUAAUUCGAUGCAACGCGAAGAACCUUACCAAGGCUUGACAUACACGAGAACGGGCCAGAAAUGGUCAACUCUUUGGACACUCGUGAACAGGUGGUGCAUGGUUGUCGUCAGCUCGUGUCGUGAGAUGUUGGGUUAAGUCCCGCAACGAGCGCAACCCUCGUUCUAUGUUGCCAGCACGUAAUGGUGGGAACUCAUGGGAUACUGCCGGGGUCAACUCGGAGGAAGGUGGGGAUGACGUCAAAUCAUCAUGCCCCUUAUGUCUUGGGCUUCACGCAUGCUACAAUGGCCGGUACAAUGGGCUGCGAUACCGUAAGGUGGAGCGAAUCCCAAAAAAGCCGGUCCCAGUUCGGAUUGAGGUCUGCAACUCGACCUCAUGAAGUCGGAGUCGCUAGUAAUCGCAGAUCAGCAACGCUGC
RNAcentral lists this ribosomal RNA (1292 nucleotides) under uncultured bacterium. RNAcentral's name for it is "bacterial SSU rRNA". It matches the Rfam family "Bacterial small subunit ribosomal RNA", at positions 59 to 1360 of the family's 1533-position model. The record is from RNAcentral.